Rhinichthys klamathensis goyatoka is the source of this 1303-nucleotide long non-coding RNA. RefSeq lists it as uncharacterized. The transcript is spliced from 2 exons. NCBI's taxonomy places the organism in Eukaryota, Metazoa, Chordata, Actinopteri, Cypriniformes, Leuciscidae. The record is from RefSeq and is a predicted model, not a curated record.
AAAAACAAUAAACCUGAACAGACGACAGGCCCAUGUGACUGCCGGCACAGGAGGAGAAGAUUUGUGCUGUGAGUCUGAUAAACAUGUCUGGAGUUUGACUGAGUGUGGAAUGUUGAUUUGCUCUUCAGUCUUGACACAGAGCUCAGAAUCAGUUGAAUUAUAUUCAGCUGGAUAAAAGGUUAAUUGACUCUGUGCUAAGCCCCGCCUUAAACACUACUGACCUAUUCUACCUUAGCAACUGUUGCCAUUUGCCAUAAGACAAGCAUUUGCUCUACUUUAAGUUUAUUGAAGUGUGUUUGGAUAGUUUUAAAUGCAGUUUUAAGGAAAUAAAAAAUUUAAUAUAGAAUGUCCAUAUAUUAUAUUAUAUUAUAUUAUAGUAAAACAUUAGUCAUUUAGCCUUGACUUUGCCUAGAUUUCAUAACAUUAUUACAUAAUUAAAUAGAUCCUUAUGGGUUUAGUUCACCCAAAAAUGAAAAUUCUGUCAUUAAUUACUCACCAUCAUGUCAUUCCAAACUCAAAUUUCCAAAGCAAUAGUGUCUCUUCAGAAAAUUUGGACUAAAUGGCUCAAUUCAUAUGGAUUAGUUUUAUGAUCUCUUUAUAAAUUUUUUGAAGCGUCAAAGUGGUAGUUGCGUAGCUGUUUAUGGAGGGACAGAAAGCUCUCAGAUUUCAUCAUAAAGAUCUUCAAAGAUCUAACGAACGUCUUAUGGGUUUGGAACAACAUGAAGAAUAUUUUUUUUGUAUUUAACUGCAAGUCAUAAUUUUUAUGUAAAUCUCCAAUCACUUCCUAUGGUAGGUUCUGUAAGGCUUGUCUGAGUGGGCAACGGGUAACAAAGGGGGCGGAGCUUAGCGAAAUUAUCAAUUGACCUUUUUCAUCUGUGCGUUACACCUGAAUGUGCUUUCUCAUUCAUUAAGAGUUCAUCAGAACGUUCUCUGAAUUGUACCUGCUGAGUCCAGUGCAAUAUAUUGUUUUUCUUAUAUAUAUAUAUAUGAAAAAAAUGCUUCUAAAUAAGAGCCCUCCUCAUUGUUGACAUGUAAAUCACUCACUGCUUAUUGUAAAGGCUUAUUUUGUUGUGUUGUAAUUUUUUGUUUUCAUGUUGUACUAUACUCAGGCAUCAUCUAUCUAUGAACAUGUUAUUUUAUAAAAGACAAGUAUUUAAUGUUUACGAACAGGAAUCUGGCUUCGGUUCUGUUAGAUUUUUUUAUUUUUAUUAUUAUUAUUAUUAUUAGCAACGCACAUUUGCAGAGUCAUGUUUCACAAUGACAGGUUUCAUAUGGUGCAGAACGUACUCCCAACCCCCCACCC